GGGGUUGUGGCUUAGCGGUAGAGCGCUUGCCUAGUACAUGAGAGGCACUGAGUUCGAGCCUCAGCACCA
Molecule: transfer RNA, 69 nt
Filed under: Ictidomys tridecemlineatus (thirteen-lined ground squirrel)
Lineage: Eukaryota; Metazoa; Chordata; Mammalia; Rodentia; Sciuridae
Description: Spermophilus tridecemlineatus (thirteen-lined ground squirrel) tRNA
Rfam family: tRNA
About the family: Transfer RNA (tRNA) molecules are approximately 80 nucleotides in length. Their secondary structure includes four short double-helical elements and three loops (D, anti-codon, and T loops). Further hydrogen bonds mediate the characteristic L-shaped molecular structure. tRNAs have two regions of fundamental functional importance: the anti-codon, which is responsible for specific mRNA codon recognition, and the 3' end, to which the tRNAs corresponding amino acid is attached (by aminoacyl-tRNA synthetases). tRNAs cope with the degeneracy of the genetic code in two manners: having more than one tRNA (with a specific anti-codon) for a particular amino acid; and 'wobble' base-pairing, i.e. permitting non-standard base-pairing at the 3rd anti-codon position.
Source: Rfam by way of RNAcentral